This 68-nucleotide small nucleolar RNA is filed under the name Gigantopelta aegis. RNAcentral's name for it is "small nucleolar RNA R38". It matches the Rfam family "Small nucleolar RNA R38". Rfam says of the family: snoR38 is a C/D box small nucleolar RNA conserved across yeast, human, Arabidopsis and rice. It is encoded in the intron of elongation factor-1 gamma in both pombe and cerevisiae. snoR38 guides the methylation of 2'-O-ribose sites in 28S rRNA. The record is from RNAcentral. Lineage: Eukaryota; Metazoa; Mollusca; Gastropoda; Neomphalida; Peltospiridae.
CUUUGCCGGUGAUGAUUUGUUAUCCCUGUCAGAUAUGACAUGUUGAGAACUGUAAAACUGAGGCAUGG